GAGAGCGGGAGGCUCGACCUCUUCCCGGCUGCGUCGUGGCUCUGGCCUUGCGCGGCGGGGCCACGUCUUCCGGUUAGGUCCCAGGAAGUGCCUGGGCAGUAGGGCCCAUGCGGUCCAGUCCCCAGUCUUCCAGACUGUCGCGAAAGCGAGGCCCAGCCUGGCUGCUCUGGCGCGGGACAGCCCUGGCCCUAGAGGGUCGUCGCUGUGCACCUGAAGGUCACAGGGCCCAACAACCCAAGACGCGUCCCCGCUGGACUUUGGAUGAUUUCUCCCAGAGUUUUGGGGAUCUCAUAACUAUAUGGAGCUCCAGGCUGUUCUAUGCUCGGGGGUCGAGGUCCGCGGGUCGCAGCAGUCCGCUUGGGCCGCAGAGGUCGGCAAAAGUGAGGGGCACGUCUGUGAAUCUGCCAGUGCGUGGACCUGCAGGAGUGUGAGAUCAUGGGUGUGGGUGACUGGGAUCGUGGCAGAGUGAACAGACCACUAUGCUAUGUGGCUUGAGAAACGGGGCAAAGCAUAGAAAGGACCCCCUAGGACCAGCCCACCUGCGAGAGAGGGGCGGGGCUGGCCUGCGCGCUCACCAGGCUCUUGAUUCCCUUUCUCAGGGAGCACCACCAGGGUUCUCUGGAGCAGCUUGGGGGGAGGGGCAGUUCGAGAGAGUCCCGUUCCAGCGUCACCGCACCUGCCCUCCCUUUCCCUACCCCUCCACCCUGCCGCCGCUGAAGAGCUAUUUGGCCUGUCCUGUCGGCCUCCGGGCCUCCAACCAACCUGUUGCUUUUUUGACUUGCAGCUUCCUCUUCGCCUGCUUCGGCCCUGUUGCUCUUCUCCGCUGGGUGUGCUCCCCUCCCCCACUUUACAGAUGAGCCCAGAGGUGCUGUAAUUUACCCGAGGCCACACAGCUACCGGUAGCAAAGUUGGGAUGGGACCCAGGGACCUUAAAAGAGAGCAAGGCCGCUCCUUCGAAGCUGGUGAUGUCAUUGCUGUCCUGCCAGCUACACUUGCUCCUGUGGCAAGGCAAUACUGAGACUCCAGCCUGUCCCAAGCUGGGCUCUUGCUUUGAAUACAAGACACCCUUCUCUUCUGCCCCUAGAAUUUCCAGCUCUAGGUCUGCGAGAAGGGGCUGCCUUCCUAGUUACGCAGGGACAAAGGAACAGCUUCAAAACCUGUUAGGGGCCAGGGCUGGAUGCUUUUAGGGGUAGGGAAUGGGAGUGAGUGGGCUCAGAGUCUUGGAUUGUGUAGGGGCCCAGGACAGGGAGGUCACCACAGAAUAGAGACCUCUCGGGGAACUGGCCCAGGCAUGUGAGGCAGCAAGGCCAGCAGAUUAGCUGUGUGACUUCUUAACCUUGGGCAAGGCUUCGCUAGAGUUCAGGCUUCUCAUCUGCAAAAUGAGGACUGAACAGUGCUAUUUUAGAGCACGGUUUAAAGAUUCUGUGAUCUGGGAAAAUCAGAAAAAUCAGCAGAGAGAAACCAUUUCCAAUCUUAGACUGGCAGCUGCUUGCUCUGGUCUCUGCUUGCUUCCAGAGGAGUCGACCCUAAUGUCUGACAGAGUGCUGUGUGCCUGAAUUUACUUUGGGACCACUGGGCCAUUUCUCCAGUCAAGCCCAGACAGUGCCCUCCCCGCUGGAGCUGCCACCCCAGCUGCCAUCAGCCUCCUCGCAAAGCAUGAAGAUACUUUUUCCUCCAUCAAAUUGAGAGAAAGUCCAUGGUUCCCAGGCAGGAGAGACUGGCUUCAGCCACUCUGUGCAGGGCCAUCUACUCAGCCUUCAGAGCUGAGUAGGAUUCAGGUCCCCCUUCUCCUGGCAUGCCCGACUGGUGGGGUUGAAGGCACUGAAGAUGAAGAUGAACUCUCUCUUUAGGUGCCAGGAUGGGAUGGGGUGUGUGGGAAGUGGGCAGGGGCCCCAGAGCUGCCCCGGCUCCAGCUGGACGGUUGGAUGGGGAGCCUGAUUGUUUGCGAACUCAGCUCUUCUGCAGCUGUUACAUUAAACUUCACCCCCAACCACACCUGGCUCAGUGGGUUUCCUUCAGUCCUCCCAGGCCCCUCUGGGGCCUCAGGGAAGGCGGGACUGGCGCUAGCCUUCGGCUCCUUCAGGCUCAAUACCCGUUUUUGCUCCCGCUGCUCCCGUCUCCUUCCUGCCAUGCACCUUAGGUCCAGAAUUGGGAGGUGGGAGGGCAACCACAUCAGGAACUUGUCAUCCAAGGUUCCAGCCAGGUUUCAUGGGAGACCCACCAUCACCUGACCAUCCUUCACCUUCUGAGUUUGAAAAGAGAGGGAAUGACAAGGUGCCCGUCCCAAAGUUAAGGCCGGAGUCUUCAUCAGCCUCUCCUUCCCACAGCUGCCACAGGCACGUGCAGAGGACCUGACGGACCCUGACUGCCACAGCCAGGGUAGGUCCGGGCCUGAGGAGCCCCCAGAACUCAAUGGCUCUGGUAAUAGGCAAGAGGGUUGGAGAAUGGAUUUCAGUCAAGCCUCACCCCAAUUCCAGAGUAAACAUCCUCCUUCCGACCCCCUUCCUGACUCCCCCUCAGCUGCACACGUCAAGGUGGGGGUGUCACGAGCAGGGACACACAGUCAGGCCCACAGGACUCUCUGCUCAGUGCUUGGAGAGGACCCGACCCCAGCAAUUCAGGGAUGGACACCAAUUGCAGCGUGAUUUAUUGGACAAGACGUGCACUUUUUGACAGGGCCUUGGUAACCACGGUUUCCUCCACUGAACAGUACAGGGCCAGGGUAAAAGGGCUUACAGACAAGAAAGACAAAUCCUUUCCAUGAUCCAAAGGGGAAAGAAAAGAGGAAGGGGGCUUCUCCUUCCUUCUUCCUUCCAUAACACUCUGGGCCUCAGUUCACCCCGUGCCAGAGGGGAGGUUGGCCAAGGGAAGCUGGGCGGCGUGUGUCAAAGCCAGGAGUGGGCUGGGACUGUCCACUCAGGACCAAAGUGCCCGCCAGGCCAUCCACCCUCUCCCCACCCAGGCCCCCCAAGGGUUUGGUUAGAAAAUACAAAAGCGGAUCCAAUGCAGGAUAUGGUGUGCCAAUGGAGGAGGGGACGGAGCUUCUGUGGAGUCUCUCUCGGCCACAGCCCUGCUGAUGCGGAGGGGGGCAGAGGUCAGAUUGCGCCGAGGUGCUUCAGAGAAAGGUCUCUUCUCAAUCCAGGGAGGGUGGGCUGCUGUUGUCACUAGGCUUGGGGAAGGUGGGCGGUAAACGAGGAGCGGAGACUGAAGGGUAGGACCAGAGGGGGCUUCUCCCCUUCCCGCCAGCAGGUGAGUGGGCCGGCCAGUCAGAAGCAGGUUGCUGGUACCUACGGGAAGCCGGUAGGGAAGAGGCUGAGGGGCUGACUCUCAUUGGUGGGCAAUGGAGAUCGGUAGCCAUCAAAGUUUCUCGGGAUGCUGCCGCUGGUGGAGCCAGAGCUGUUACUCAGGGUCUCGAUGCUUCCCUCUCGCUGUAGUUCUGCAAGACAGAAGAGAGGACCGGGCCCGGUCAGAGUGUAGUCUCAAGGGGUGGGGAAUAUACCCUGGGCAGGACUGCCUGCCUUCAGGCACCAAUCUGGGUCCGUUUACAUCCUUCCGCAGGGGGACCCCCACGUGCUCCCGAGAUGGGCCAGGUGGCACCUCAGGUCACAGGGAGGCUCAGCCGGAGGAGGGAGAAGCUCCUUUGGCCGGCAGGCCCCAGUUUUUCCUUCAUUGUGGGAACCCCUUUGGGCCAGAAGUGUGGCUGCCCUGAUGACGUGUCUGGACCACACUGCCAUACACGGGGCAUGUGCCCACGCCUGCACACACACACUCGUGCUCAGCCAGCAUGCGCCCCUACUUCCAUGAGAGGCUCCUGUCCUGGACUGACAGGCCAGGCAGGAGGGGAGAAGCCAGGACAUGGCAAGGACUGCAGCUUCCCCGCCUGCUCUGUCCCUACGUCUCCUCCUCCUGCCCUGCCUGUCCUGGCUCAGCCACGCACGUGCUCACUUGUCCUCACCCACACAAUCCGCCUGCUGGCCAGGCCCCGGUUUAUCUGUGGCCCGUCCUGGAAAGUGGCCUGUUUCCCUGCAGGAGGGAUUGCCUCAUUUGAGAGGGGCUUUCUCCAAUGGGCAGAGGGUCCCUACUUGUCUGAGUACCUCCUUCCUCCCCUCCUCUUGGCUCAGAAGUCUCCUGGAGGCCCCCCAAAAUGUACAUGCUCAGUCAACCUAGGAAGCAGGCAGUGAGGCGCCCACCCCCUCCUCUGCCCCUUCCCUGGGCCUGGCACAGCCAUGCUACCAUCUUGGAUAUGGCAACUGGCUCUAUCUCCCUCAACUGUGGGCACCUUACUCAACUGCCUCACCAUCUCUUGACCGAAGACAGGUACUGGGGUAGGUGGGCUGGGAAUAGACUUCCUUGCAUGCUGAAUGCAAGGAAAAAAAAUAAUUACUUCUUGGCUUUUUGAAAACAGCCAGUUCCCAUCCCCUUUCAGCCCCUCCCAGUGGGCUCUGAGAUGUGGGCACACACCUCCCUGGGUAAACUCUGAACAUCCGCCCCAAGCCGAGAUGUGGUACCUGCAACCUCUCCUCCAAGGUACGCCUGCCCAGGGCUGAUGGGGUCCAGCCUGCCUGCCUCAGGAGCUCAGGGCCUCAGAGCAGUCAUUUGAAACAGCAAGAUGGAUGGACGGACGUCUACCCCAGCCUUUUCCUUCCUCUCCACUCCCAUGGCCGCUGCUGGGGUUAGGCCUGCGCUUCCCGUCCGGAUAGUCUCAAAAGCUCCCUGCUGGGCUCCCGACCUCCAUCCUGAAGCCACAGUGGCCUGUCUGCUGCACAAACCUCCCCUUGCGCUUCCUCUGCUUAAAAACCUUCAUCGACUUUGAAUGGUCCUCAGGAUAAGGUCUAAACUCCUCAGCACUAUCAAACAGCCUUCCACGACCCACCGCCACCCCCACCAAGGCCCCACCUCCCUAACGUCACCUGUUACCGGAUUUGAGGGACCAAAGUAAUGAACUUGGGCAGUUUGGGGGGCUCUCCAGGCUGCUUUAGGCCUCUAGGUCUGUGCUCGUGCAACUCCUUCUGACUGAAAAGUCUCCCUUGGCCCCCAGAACGCCCACUCAUCUUCCAAGCUUAGCACAAGCAUCCACUCCUCCAUGAGCCUGGGCUGUUUUGACGCAGGCCCCACUGCGCUCUAUACUAGCUCCUGCCCUGGGCCCUCAAGCACGUGGUGCGCUCUCCGCCCACACGCAUGUCCCCAUCCAGGGGGACUGUCCCUCAGGGAUCAGCUUGGUGCUUUAUCUCUGCAUUCCCUAGUGCCAACCACAGGGCCUAGAAAGUAGCUGAUGCUCAGAAAACAUUUCUCAAAUGAAUGAAUGAGUGAGUGACGUGGUAAGGAGAUGAGGGACUUCUGCAGCAUGACUACCAGUAAAAGAAUCAGGGGCCUGGCUGGUCCUGGGUGCUUCCCUACAUGCCUCUGUCAACCCCCUUUCUCUUCUCACUAAGACAGGACAACGAGUGUGUGUGGAAGCGGAAGUGGACGUGGAUGUGGAGGGGUGCACACACGGUCCCCUUUCAGGCCCCCCGGCUGCCCAGCCCUCGGAGCAAGCGGCAAACGGAAGUGUGUGGCCUUACCUUCCUCCAUCCCGAACACACGCUUUGUUACUGUUGGGUUGCUCACGGACGCUGGGCUGUUGGCAUUGUUUUUUUUUUCCUUUUUUUUUCCCUUGUGAAAAGAAAAGCAUUGAGGAAUCUUUUGGGAAAAGAUCUGGACAAUGGUGGAGAAGAACACUGAUCUCUGCAAGCAGUUGUAUCAGGACCUCAGGAUCCCUCUCCAUCUUCCCUGCCCAGCAGGCGUUGGCCAUCCAGGCCCCCACCGCUUUGCACCUCCCCCCAGCUGGACCUUGGGAAAUAUUUUCUUUUUAAUCAAGAAAUGGCCCGAAGAGGAAGAUGGCAGAUAUGUGUUUACAGCUUUUCAUUUUCCUCCUUGCCUCUUUGUAAAUACCCUCUUCCAAGCUGGAAAAUAAAUUUCCAACCCUGUUGACGUGCA
Camelus dromedarius (Arabian camel) is the source of this 5976-nucleotide long non-coding RNA. RefSeq lists it as uncharacterized. The record is from RefSeq and is a predicted model, not a curated record. NCBI's taxonomy places the organism in Eukaryota, Metazoa, Chordata, Mammalia, Artiodactyla, Camelidae. The transcript is spliced from 4 exons.